GACAAAUAUGCGGCAGGUCUUCUAAAUCUGUUUAGGGUUUACCCGUUUGUUU
This 52-nucleotide transfer RNA is filed under the name Contracaecum ogmorhini sensu lato Australia. RNAcentral describes it as "tRNA-Ser". Lineage: Eukaryota; Metazoa; Nematoda; Chromadorea; Rhabditida; Anisakidae. The record is from RNAcentral.